RNAcentral lists this ribosomal RNA (464 nucleotides) under Vreelandella stevensii. RNAcentral's name for it is "partial 16S ribosomal RNA". It matches the Rfam family "Bacterial small subunit ribosomal RNA", at positions 338 to 794 of the family's 1533-position model. Lineage: Bacteria; Pseudomonadati; Pseudomonadota; Gammaproteobacteria; Oceanospirillales; Halomonadaceae. The record is from RNAcentral.
CCUACGGGUGGCAGCAGUGGGGAAUAUUGGACAAUGGGCGAAAGCCUGAUCCAGCCAUGCCGCGUGUGUGAAGAAGGCCUUCGGGUUGUAAAGCACUUUCAGUGGGGAAGAAAGCCUUGGGGCUAAUACCCUCGAGGAAGGACAUCACCCACAGAAGAAGCACCGGCUAACUCCGUGCCAGCAGCCGCGGUAAUACGGAGGGUGCGAGCGUUAAUCGGAAUUACUGGGCGUAAAGCGCGCGUAGGCGGUCUGAUAAGCCGGUUGUGAAAGCCCCGGGCUCAACCUGGGAACGGCAUCCGGAACUGUCAGGCUAGGGUGCAGGAGAGGAAGGUAGAAUUCCCGGUGUAGCGGUGAAAUGCGUAGAGAUCGGGAGGAAUACCAGUGGCGAAGGCGGCCUUCUGGACUGACACUGACGCUGAGGUGCGAAAGCGUGGGUAGCAAACAGGAUUAGAUACCCGGGUAUC